RNAcentral lists this ribosomal RNA (455 nucleotides) under Neisseria flava. Its description in RNAcentral is "bacterial SSU rRNA". It matches the Rfam family "Bacterial small subunit ribosomal RNA", at positions 30 to 485 of the family's 1533-position model. The record is from RNAcentral. Lineage: Bacteria; Pseudomonadati; Pseudomonadota; Betaproteobacteria; Neisseriales; Neisseriaceae.
AUUGAACGCUGGCGGCAUGCUUUACACAUGCAAGUCGGACGGCAGCACAGAGAAGCUUGCUUCUUGGGUGGCGAGUGGCGAACGGGUGAGUAAUAUAUCGGAACGUACCGAGCAGUGGGGGAUAACUAAUCGAAAGAUUAGCUAAUACCGCAUAUUUUCUGAGGAAGAAAGCAGGGGACCAUUUGGCCUUGCGCUGUUUGAGCGGCCGAUAUCUGAUUAGCUAGUUGGUGGGGUAAAGGCCUACCAAGGCGACGAUCAGUAGCGGGUCUGAGAGGAUGAUCCGCCACACUGGGACUGAGACACGGCCCAGACUCCUACGGGAGGCAGCAGUGGGGAAUUUUGGACAAUGGGCGCAAGCCUGAUCCAGCCAUGCCGCGUGUCUGAAGAAGGCCUUCGGGUUGUAAAGGACUUUUGUCAGGGAAGAAAAGGGCGGGGUUAAUACCCCUGUCUGAUGA